AGGUAGAUUCAGGCUGUCGCUCGUAAAGAGAGGAAAGUCCGGGCUUCAUAGGGGAGAGCGCAGGCUAACGACCUGACGCGGUAGCAAUACUGCGAUGGAAAGUGCCACAGAAAAGAUACCGCCGAUACUUUAUGGUGUGGGUAAGGGUGAAAAGGUGAGGUAAGAGCUCACCGCACCACUGGCGACAGGGGUGGCAGGGAAAACCCCGCUCGAAGCAAGCCCAAAUAGCAAGGAGAUGCCCCGUCUAUAACCUUGCGGGUAGGGUGCAAAGAGGUUGCUAGUAAUAGUAGUCGAAGAUAGAUGACAGCGCGAAACAGAACCCGGCUUAUGGGUCUACCUUUUU
Molecule: RNase P RNA, 343 nt
Filed under: Entomospira culicis
Lineage: Bacteria; Pseudomonadati; Spirochaetota; Spirochaetia; Spirochaetales; Spirochaetaceae
Description: Spirochaetales bacterium BR151 RNase P RNA component class A
Rfam family: Bacterial RNase P class A
About the family: Ribonuclease P (RNase P) is a ubiquitous endoribonuclease, found in archaea, bacteria and eukarya as well as chloroplasts and mitochondria. Its best characterised activity is the generation of mature 5'-ends of tRNAs by cleaving the 5'-leader elements of precursor-tRNAs.
Source: RNAcentral